This 304-nucleotide ribosomal RNA is filed under the name uncultured bacterium. RNAcentral's name for it is "bacterial SSU rRNA". It matches the Rfam family "Bacterial small subunit ribosomal RNA", at positions 32 to 314 of the family's 1533-position model. The record is from RNAcentral.
AAUCAACGCUGGCGGCGUGCCUCAGACAUGCAAGUCGAACGCGAAAGUUUCCUUCGGGAAGCGAGUAGAGUGGCGUCCGGGUGAGUAACACGUAGGUAAUCUACCUUUGGGUGGGGAAUAACAACCGGAAACGGUUGCUAAUACCCGCAUAAUGCAGCGGCACCACAUGGUGACAGUUGUUAAAGCGGGGGAUCGCAAGACCUCGCGCCUAAAGAGGAGCCUGCGGCGGAUUAGCUAGNGGUGAGGUAAUGGCUCACCAAGGCUUCGAUCUGUAGCUGGGUCUGAGAGGACGGCCAGCCACACU